GGAGAGAUGGCUCAGCGGUUAAGAGCACUGACUGCUUUUCUAGAGGACCUGGGUUCAAAUCCCAGCAUCCA
This is a non-coding RNA of Neotoma lepida (desert woodrat), 71 nucleotides long. The record is from Rfam. NCBI's taxonomy places the organism in Eukaryota, Metazoa, Chordata, Mammalia, Rodentia, Cricetidae.